This 217-nucleotide unclassified non-coding RNA is filed under the name Hevea brasiliensis (rubber tree). The record is from RNAcentral. Lineage: Eukaryota; Viridiplantae; Streptophyta; Magnoliopsida; Malpighiales; Euphorbiaceae.
GAAAUUAAUUGUUUUUAUUGAUUACAAAUAGAUGACAAAUGCCAACUUGCAAUUCCUAUUAGUUUACUGGUUGUCUUUUAUGUUGACAAAUGCAUAUCUCCCUUUUGAUCUAAAGUCAUUCAAAUUUGUUGAGAGAUAAAUGAAAUUAGGCACAUUGACAGUAAACUUCAUUCUAAUUUCCCUUUUGAGCUGUAAAUAAUAUUGAAAUCUUGGUUUA